This 423-nucleotide long non-coding RNA is filed under the name Brassica napus (rape). RNAcentral describes it as "long non-coding RNA (BNAP_LNC021870)". The record is from RNAcentral. Lineage: Eukaryota; Viridiplantae; Streptophyta; Magnoliopsida; Brassicales; Brassicaceae.
UAAAACAGUGUAGGUCUUCAUCACAUCCAGAACAUUUAUUUAUAGGUCGAGCUUGUAUCUGUUAUAGAUGUGAAUCUGAAUAAAUGAGACGGAGUGGGAGGAGAGGUGAGUGGAGUUUAAUGAUUGAAUUAAAGCAAGAAUUUAAGAAAGGGAGAAACGUUCCAGAAAAUGUCAUUGGAGAAGAUGGCUAACGAUGAGUUACGCCGUCAAACUGUAGAAGAGCGUACAACUAAACCUAAACACAAGGCGAGCCAGAAAGAUGAAAGUAUUAAAGCCCAAUGAAUAAACCGAAAGCUCAGCUACUCCUCCGCAAGUUAGAAAUACAAAAAAAAAGCUCUCCGAAUUAGAAGCAAAAGGAAAAUGAAGAAACUCUUUCUCUGCUCGACACGUAUCGCAAAAUGGUGGUAUGAGGGAUGACGUGGC